RNAcentral lists this ribosomal RNA (254 nucleotides) under uncultured bacterium. Its description in RNAcentral is "partial 16S ribosomal RNA". It matches the Rfam family "Bacterial small subunit ribosomal RNA", at positions 524 to 776 of the family's 1533-position model. The record is from RNAcentral.
UACGUAGGGGGCAAGCGUUGUCCGGAUUUAUUGGGCGUAAAGAGCGUGUAGGCGGUUCGGUAGGUCCGUUGUGAAAACUCGAGGCUCAACCUCGAGACGCCGAUGGAAACCAUCGAACUAGAGUCCGGAAGGAGGAGAGUAGAAUUCCUGGUGUAGCGGUGAAAUGCGCAGAUAUCAGGAAGAACACCCGUGGCUAAGGCGGCUCUCUAGUACGGUACUGACGCUGAGACGCGAAAGCGUGGGGAGCGAACAGG